AGCUCCAAUAGCGUAUAUUAAAGUUGUUGCGGUUAAAAAGCUCGUAGUUGGAUUUCUGCCGAGGACGACCUGUCCACCCACUGGGUGCGCACGAGGUUCGGUUUUGGCAUAAUCUUGGAGAACGCCGCUGCGAUUCAUUUUGUGGGGUGGUAUCCAAGACCUUUACUUUGAGGAAAUUAGAGUGUUUCAAGCAGGCAUACGCCUUGAAUACAUUAGCAUGGAAUAAUAAGAUAGGACCUUGGCUCUAUUUUGUUGGUUUCUAGGGCUGAGGUAAUGAUUAAUAGGGAUAGUUGGGGGCAUUCGUAUUUAACUGUCAGAGGUGAAAUUCUUGGAUUUGUUAAAGACGGACGACUGCGAAAGCAUUUGCCAAGGAUGUUUUCAUUGAUCAAGAACGAAAGUA
RNAcentral lists this ribosomal RNA (400 nucleotides) under phytoplankton environmental sample. RNAcentral describes it as "partial small subunit ribosomal RNA". It matches the Rfam family "Eukaryotic small subunit ribosomal RNA", at positions 587 to 991 of the family's 1831-position model. The record is from RNAcentral.